GCGUUCUGUAAGCCUGUGAAGGUGACCUGUGAGGGUUGCUGGAGGUAUCAGAAGUGCGAAUGCUGACAUAAGUAACGAUAAUGCGGGUGAAAAACCCGCACGCCGGAAGACCAAGGGUUCCUGUCCAACGUUAAUCGGGGCAGGGUGAGUCGACCCCUAAGGCGAGGCUGAAAAGCGUAGUCGAUGGGCAACGGGUUAAUAUUCCCGUACUGGUGGUAACUGCGAAGGGGGGACGGAGAAAGCUAAAUCAUCCGGGCGACGGUUGUCCCGGUUUAAGCGUGCAGGUGGACUGACCAGGCAAAUCCGGUCGGUUGUUAACACUGAGGCGUGACGACGAGCCACUACGGUGGUGAAGUGAUUGAUGCUCUGCUU
RNAcentral lists this ribosomal RNA (372 nucleotides) under Morganella morganii. RNAcentral's name for it is "partial 23S ribosomal RNA". It matches the Rfam family "Bacterial large subunit ribosomal RNA", at positions 1236 to 1607 of the family's 2925-position model. The record is from RNAcentral. Lineage: Bacteria; Pseudomonadati; Pseudomonadota; Gammaproteobacteria; Enterobacterales; Morganellaceae.